Molecule: ribosomal RNA, 390 nt
Filed under: uncultured bacterium
Lineage: Bacteria
Description: bacterial SSU rRNA
Rfam family: Bacterial small subunit ribosomal RNA
Source: RNAcentral
AUUGAACGCUGGCGGCAUGCCUUACACAUGCAAGUCGAACGGCAGCGGGCCUUCGGGUGCCGGCGGGUGGCGAACGGGUGAGUAAUGCAUCGGAACGUGCCAUUGAGUGGGGGGAUAACGUAGCGAAAGUUGCGCUAAUACCGCAUAUUCUGUGAGCAGGAAAGCAGGGGACCGCAAGGCCUUGCGCUCUUUGAGCGGCCGAUGUCAGAUUAGCUAGUUGGUGAGGUAAAGGCUUACCAAGGCGACGAUCUGUAGCGGGUCUGAGAGGAUGAUCCGCCACACUGGAACUGAGACACGGUCCAGACUCCUACGGGAGGCAGCAGUGGGGAAUUUUGGACAAUGGGGGGCAACCCUGAUCCAGCCAUGCCGCGUGAGUGAAGAAGGCCUCGG